AGAAGACGCUGGGGAGAACCGGUCGUAGGAUACGACCCGGUGGGAGACCCAUUUGUUCGAGACAGAUUGCGAGUGACUUUCGGAAGGUGGUGUGUGUUUUCACACUGACCAAGUGCCCAGCACAAGGAAUUUAAGACUUGCGUGAGUCCAUGAAUGACUCCCUGGCUCCUCCCCAGUCAAAUCAAGCUUCGGUCCCAGAGAAGUUAAGCACUCCAAGAACAAGCGAUUACUAUGGAUUGCCUUAUCAAUAAUGAUGGAUCAGUCAUAAUAUAAUUCAUGGGACUCUAGACUCGAAAACUGGAUCAGUCUCAUUUUUAUAGUAAGAGAUACGUUUUACCUUCUGUCAAAAAUUCAGGGUGGAUGGGUUUCCGCUGCAGACCUGGAGUUACAUUCAGACCUCGGAUCUUUGCGGUGGUGGGACCUGCUCCCGGGGGCUCACAACCAGCUGCUUUUUGAAAUCCCAAGGAUGCGACCUAGAAGACGAGCAUGCCUUUGGUGCUCCAAGGUUUUGCGGCCUACAGAUGGACUGAUUCUAAGACGGUGCCACCAACUGAAGCAUCACGGGAGAAAAUGGAACAUUGGGAAUUGCGGAUCAGCUGUUGGGGGCUCUGUACUCGACAAAUCACGCACUACCUCUCUCUUGCUGGCGGGGGAGCGUUCGUUGCUGAUUCUCUAGUUGGAGAACUCAGAAAAAAGAGCAGUGCAACAGACUUUUAACACCGGAAAUGAGCGAGUUGUUUUGUUAUGUCUCCCCUCUCACUAUGAAAGAGGACACCUCUUUUUCCCUUUAUUAGGAAGAGAGAGUGAGCCCGUGGUAUGUCAAAUUGUCAGGUGAACGAUGAGGUUUUGUUGUACCGCAGGUCAUGGUCUUUAUUGCGUGCUUUGCUAUUGCUCGCCUAGUGGGUGGAGGGUGCUGAUGCUUUUGUGUGAAAGUGGGUGGGGGUGGGGGUGUCGGAGUGUUCAUGCUUUGCUGCUGCUGUGUAUGGGAGAGGGCAGUAAGGGGGUUUUGGGGUUCUAACAUUUUAACUUUCACUUAUUCUUUGGGACACUCUUCUAUUUUCAUGGAUGUCUGCAAAGAACAAGAAUUUCAGAAUGUAUAUUGCAUAGAUUUCUGA
This is a long non-coding RNA of Mobula hypostoma (lesser devil ray), 1115 nucleotides long. RefSeq lists it as uncharacterized. The record is from RefSeq and is a predicted model, not a curated record. The transcript has 5 exons. Lineage: Eukaryota; Metazoa; Chordata; Chondrichthyes; Myliobatiformes; Myliobatidae.